CCGGAGAUAGCUUGCUUCCUCUCUCACCCUCACCAUGGAAGGAAGAGUGAGACGCACCUGCUCACAAGCCAAGCCAGGAAACCAGCCCUCAGGAGAGCACACCCUGCUGGUACACUGAUCUCAGAAUUCCGGCCUCCAGACUGUGAAAAAUUAAUGUGUAUUGUUGAAGCCACUUAUUCUACGAAAUUUUGUUAUAGGAGAUCUGGAAGACUGAGACAGAUAAAUGAAGAGAUUAGCUCCAAGAGCCAUCUCAUUGGUCUUCUCCUUUGGAAGACAGAAAGUGAGGGGAGGGAACGAGUAAGCCCUGCAAUUCAGCACACUGCCAAGGACACCCUCACCCUUAGAACAGGAGUCUCCAACUUGGAGCCUCAGGGCAGGAUACAGCGGAGGAUGUUUCAUCUGCUUCACAAGCCAUUAGUACAAAUUGAAUUCGAAUGUUCUUAGGCACUGAUGUGCAGGUAAAUGUUUAAAUAGCGAACUCUGAUGUAGGAGGGGUGGAAGCCGUGAUUUCUGGAGCUUGCCGAUUUCUGUGGUAUAAAUGGUGGAUCCCUAGCUUUACAGUGAGAACGCUGAGAGAGGACUUGGGAAGAACUGUGUGCCGCCCACCCUCCAGAGUCCAUGUGGGUUUCCACUCUUCAGAGUCCACGUCAUCUGCCCUGGCCCCAGUGAGAGAUGGAAUUCGUGACUUCUGCCAGCAGCUUUUCGAGGCUCCUGAAGUUGGUCACAAAGCCGGAGUGAGGAAUGUGCUGGCUCUUUUGCGGUGUCAUCAGAGACUCGCGUUCAUGGUGAACUCGCGUUCAGGAUGAUUUGGCAGAAAAAAACAAGAAUUGAGGUUGGGACGCAGGAGCCGCAGAAAGUGUGGCUUGGAUGUCACUUAACUGGGGGCUGCCUGUCUCUGUUCCCAUCUGUCAAAAAACAGCUGCAAGGUCACAGUAAAUGAAAGGUGGGAUUCACUUGAAAAUGCAAGAGGACCACAUAGAAGAAGAUAUGUUAUGAUUUCUCCCCCUCAGCUUCCCCAUUCUACCAAAUGAGACAUUCGGCAAGGGCUGGAUGCUAUUUGUCUUUUCACACAUCCUUUUGCUAAUUUUCAGCGGGCUUCUAAGCGCUGAUAUAAAUGUGCAGGCCGUGUGGAAACUGACGGUGAGACAGAUUUAUAUUAAAAAUUAUACACAUCUAUUUUACUACCACAUUUAAUGAUGCAAUUAUUGUUAAGACGAAAUACAUUUUGAGUUUCUUGAAAUGAAAUAAAGACAAGAACAUAUUACUUAAACAUUGU
Molecule: long non-coding RNA, 1276 nt
Filed under: Chinchilla lanigera (long-tailed chinchilla)
Lineage: Eukaryota; Metazoa; Chordata; Mammalia; Rodentia; Chinchillidae
Description: lncRNA (ENSCLAG00000027401.1)
Source: RNAcentral